Long non-coding RNA from Cyprinus carpio (common carp), 861 nucleotides. RefSeq lists it as uncharacterized. The record is from RefSeq and is a predicted model, not a curated record. Lineage: Eukaryota; Metazoa; Chordata; Actinopteri; Cypriniformes; Cyprinidae.
UGCAAGGCAGGCGAAGAUUUAUUGGACCGCAGUUACUUUUAUCUGGGAUUUAAUUUCUUGCAUAAAGUAUGUAACCAAGAUGGUUUGUGUCUGUGUAUGCUUAAACAUGACUAAUAUUAUAUAAACCUAAUUUGAAAGAGAUUUCUUUGAUGUUGCAGUUCAAGUGAUUUUUGGCAGUGUAGCUGAUCCAGAGGAACCUUGAGAAGAUCCUACAGUAAGAGUGCCACCACCAGUGUCCAAAACAUUACAAAGGGACCCCAAUCCCCCUGCAGCAAACGGGAGAAAAGAGCCUUGCUGAAGGACACACUGGUAGUGAUGACUGCGGAGAUCUAACCAGCAACCUUCUGCUGACCAGUUCAGUGGUUUUGCCCACUACACCACAAAAGUAGUAGUGCUCAUGGAGAGCAGGCACACAAAUGUUUGGAGCAGACACAGAGACUAUCAGAUUCCCCCGCACAUGUUCAUGAUUGUGUGGUUCAGGGGCAUCAUCAUGGUCUUCCUCAUACUCUCUGUGCACUCAGACAAGGACAGCCUCGAUGUCCCUUUCUCAUCCAUGAUCAGUUUCAGUCUGACUGCAGCAAUGAUGGUCGUGAUUGACGGCAGAGGCAGGUGAAGGUGGGCACGGUGGUUACCUGCUUCAUCAGAAUAAAGCUGCAGAAUUGGCACAGCUUUGUUGAGAUGCAGUAGGACAUGGCUUCACUGCCUGCAAUUGUAAUUGUUAGAAAAGUUUGAGUAAAACCUUGUUUUUUAUGUGUCGAUGAUUUGUAUUUAUUUAUUUUCAUGGUUACUUUUAUUUAAUCUUUUAUUCAUCUAUCUAUCUAUCUAUCUAUCUAUCUAUCUAUCUAUCUAUCUAUCUAUCUA